This 254-nucleotide ribosomal RNA is filed under the name uncultured bacterium. Its description in RNAcentral is "partial 16S ribosomal RNA". It matches the Rfam family "Bacterial small subunit ribosomal RNA", at positions 524 to 776 of the family's 1533-position model. The record is from RNAcentral.
UACGGAGAGUGCAAGCGUUGUUCGGAAUUAUUGGGCGUAAAGCGCGUGUAGGCGGCCUGACAAGUCUGGCGUGAAAGCCUGGAGCUCAACUCCAGAAGUGCGCUGGAAACUGUUGGGCUUGAGUACCGGAGGGGAAGGUGGAAUUCUCGAGUGUAGAGGUGAAAUUCGUAGAUAUUCGGAAGAACAUCAGUGGCGAAGGCGGCCUUCUGGACGGAUACUGACGCUGAGACGCGAAAGCGUGGGGAGCAAACAGG